UGACGAGCGCGUGGGCGAUGCCGAUCAGCACCGUGAUCUGCGGGGGAACAGGAGAAGGCCGUGGAAGAGCAGAUGCCCCAUCCCGCCCUUAGGGCCACCAGGGAUCUGGGUGUGGCCUCAAAGGCAAACCUGUGCUCCGGGAGGUUUGUGAGUCUGGACUCUCCCUCAACCCACAGAGAGGCACGAGAACCCUGAGAUUUGCCUCUUCCUGUCCUCUGGGUUACUGCCUUGAUCUUUGCUGACAGAGCAGAGCCUUCAGGCCAGGUUCCCAAACGGUCCCAGUUGGUGACCACAGUGGCUCUCUGCCUCUUCCACAGCUCCAGGAACACAGUGGCUGGAUUGGGAAGGAGAGAGUGCAGUGACACUCAGGGAUGGCUCUGAAAGCCACCCCUCUGUCCCACAGAGCGAGAUGGAGAGUCGUGUGGCAUCCAACCUCAUGCCAACCAGCCUGGACUGCCCUUGGCCCGUGAAGGACAGGUCACCUCUCCAGCUCGAUGAGCUGGCAGGACCCUGAACAUAGAGCAGUGAGGCAAUGGGGAUG
Long non-coding RNA from Myiozetetes cayanensis, 541 nucleotides. RefSeq lists it as uncharacterized. Lineage: Eukaryota; Metazoa; Chordata; Aves; Passeriformes; Tyrannidae. The transcript has 3 exons. The record is from RefSeq and is a predicted model, not a curated record.